RNAcentral lists this non-coding RNA (259 nucleotides) under Caldisalinibacter kiritimatiensis. Its description in RNAcentral is "T-box sequence". It matches the Rfam family "T-box leader". Rfam says of the family: Uncharged tRNA acts as the effector for transcription antitermination of genes in the T-box leader family. T-boxes are found upstream of many aminoacyl-tRNA synthetase genes and some amino acid biosynthetic genes usually in Gram-positive bacteria. The anticodon of a specific tRNA base pairs to a specifier sequence within the T-box motif, and the NCCA acceptor tail of the tRNA base pairs to a conserved bulge in the T-box antiterminator hairpin. Lineage: Bacteria; Bacillati; Bacillota; Tissierellia; Tissierellales; Thermohalobacteraceae. The record is from RNAcentral.
AUAAAAGCUGUGAAGAGAAGAGUAGAUAUUAGACUAAGUCAAAGCGAGCUGGUGAUGGUGAGAGACCAGUACAAGGUCUUAUAUUGAAGAACAUCUCGGAGCUUCUAACUGAAAUUUCAAUUAGAAAGAGUAGGAUUAGACGGAACCAAUCCGUUAAAAGUUGGACAGUAUCGAGUGUAUGUUACUCCGUACUGAUAGAGUUGAGUUAUUUAUAACUAAAUUGGGUGGUACCGCGGAAGUAAAGCCUUUCGUCCCAUGA